GAGGGUUAUACACUAAAAGGACUUAAUAAAAAACGAUCCAAAAUAAAGGGGAAAAUUCGAAAACAAAAAAAUGAAAGAAAGGACCACUGCGCGAUGCGCGCCAAUGCGCAGGGGCUUAAUCUAGAAAUAUUCCAGGCUCCCAAAACGUGGCGUUGAAGCUCGGACCGCAAUGCAAGUGCGCGCAAAUUGUAGGGGAAAUUUAAGAAAAAGGAAUGUGAAUAUAAACCGAUUUGCACAUGGCGCGAAAGGGAGGGACUAAUAUUGUAAAUAAUCCCUCACCGUAAAAACACGCGGGCCAUCAGGGCAGUACACCGGGUCGGGUCGGGUCGGAGGGUAGAUACGACACCGUUUCAAUGCCAUUGGUUACAAGCUUGAAACGGCACCGUAUUCAGACCUUAAAAAGCCCCGAAUUUGGCUAUUCAGCCAUUUCAAAACCCUAGCCUCCUCAUUCUUUUCUUUACUGCCCUUUUUAUCUGGCCAAAACCUAAAGCCCCCUUUCGAACACCCAAACUGCCAUCGAGAAGGCGUUUCGUGCUUCUGGCCUCGGCAAGUCGUUCUUUGGCUUCAAAAUCCUCUCCCUUUAACUUCGAUUUCGAUGAAGCAGGGGAGGAUCGAUGGCUUAACAGUGAGGUAAACCUCUUCGUUUUCCCUUUCUGUUUCUUUUAUUGUUGAUUUCAAAAUAAAAAGAAAAAAAA
RNAcentral lists this long non-coding RNA (695 nucleotides) under Gossypium barbadense (sea-island cotton). Its description in RNAcentral is "long non-coding RNA (GBAR_LNC004436)". The record is from RNAcentral. Lineage: Eukaryota; Viridiplantae; Streptophyta; Magnoliopsida; Malvales; Malvaceae.